CAGCAGCCACGGGAAUACGAAGGGGGCUAGCGUUGUUCGGAAUUACUGGGCGUAAAGCGCACGUAGGCGGAUCGAUCAGUCAGGGGUGAAAUCCCAGGGCUCAACCCUGGAACUGCCUUUGAUACUGUCGAUCUGGAGUAUGGAAGAGGUGAGUGGAAUUCCGAGUGUAGAGGUGAAAUUCGUAGAUAUUCGGAGGAACACCAGUGGCGAAGGCGGCUCACUGGUCCAUUACUGACGCUGAAGUGCGAAAGCGUGGGGAGCAAACAGGAUUAGAUACCCCAGUAGUCCCUGUCUCUUAUAC
RNAcentral lists this ribosomal RNA (301 nucleotides) under uncultured bacterium. RNAcentral's name for it is "partial 16S ribosomal RNA". It matches the Rfam family "Bacterial small subunit ribosomal RNA", at positions 509 to 807 of the family's 1533-position model. The record is from RNAcentral.